CACAGAGUUAGCCGAUGCUUAUUCCUCAGAUACCGUCAUUGUUUCUUCUCCGAGAAAAGAAGUUGACGACCCGUAGGCCUUCCACCUCCACGCGGCAUUGCUCCGUCAGGCUUUCGCCCAUUGCGGAAAAUUCCCCACUGCUGCCUCCCGUAGGAGUCUGGGCCGUGUCUCAGUCCCAAUGUGGCCGUCCACCCUCUCAGGCCGGCUACUGAUCGUCGCCUUGGUGGGCCGUUACCCCGCAACCAGCUAAUCAGACGCGGGCCCAUCCCAUACCACCGGAGUUUUUCACACACCUUCAUGCGAAGCUGUGCGCUUAUGCGGUUUUAGCACCUGUUUCCAGGUGUUACUCCCCCGGUAUGGGGCAGGUUCGCCCACGCGUUACUCACCCGUCCGCCACUAACUUACACUUCCGUUAGUCAAUGCAAGCAUCUCCUGCUUCUGUGUAAGUCCGUUCGACUUGCAUGUGUUAGGCACGCCGCAGCGUUCAUCCGUGAGCCAGGAUCAAACU
Molecule: ribosomal RNA, 508 nt
Filed under: uncultured Eubacteriales bacterium
Lineage: Bacteria; Bacillati; Bacillota; Clostridia; Eubacteriales
Description: uncultured Clostridiales bacterium partial 16S ribosomal RNA
Source: RNAcentral